This 433-nucleotide ribosomal RNA is filed under the name uncultured bacterium. RNAcentral describes it as "partial 16S ribosomal RNA". It matches the Rfam family "Bacterial small subunit ribosomal RNA", at positions 29 to 507 of the family's 1533-position model. The record is from RNAcentral.
AACGAACGCUGGCGGCAUGCCUAACACAUGCAAGUCGAACGAGACCUUCGGGUCUAGUGGCGCACGGGUGCGUAACGCGUGGGAACCUGCCCUUAGGUUCGGAAUAACUCCCCGAAAGGGGUGCUAAUACCGGAUAAUGUCUUCGGACCAAAGGUUUAUCGCCUUUGGAUGGGCCCGCGUUGGAUUAGAUAGUUGGUAGGGUAAAAGCCUACCACUGGUUCGAUACAUAGCUGGUCUGAGAGGAUGAUCAGCCACACUGGGGCUGAGACACGGCCCAGAAUCUUAAGGGAGGGGGGAAAGGGGGAUAAUGGAAAACGGGGGGAAGGAUGAACCAGUAAUGACGGGAGAGUGAUGAAGGGCUUAAGGAUGGAAAGCAAGUUUAACCCGGAAGGUAAUGACAGUACCGGGAGAAUAAGCUCCGGCUAACUCCGUG